Long non-coding RNA from Brassica napus (rape), 276 nucleotides. RefSeq lists it as uncharacterized. Lineage: Eukaryota; Viridiplantae; Streptophyta; Magnoliopsida; Brassicales; Brassicaceae. The record is from RefSeq and is a predicted model, not a curated record. The transcript has 2 exons.
GAAGUUAUCCCACUUUCAAAUCAGGUGAUUCCAGUUUCCCAGUUUGGGAAUAGCACAGCUUCUUCGUCGUUCCAAUCAAACCAGGAUGAAUCACUUUGUGAGAAGCUUGAUUUGGAUACAUAAAGUGGUGGAGAAUCACAGGAAGUUGAAUAAAUCUCAUAGGAGUUGGCAUGAAGAAGUUAUCCCACUUUCAAAUCAGGUGAUUCCAGUUUCCCAGUUUGGGAAUAGCACAGCUUCUUCGUCGUUCCAAUCAAACCAGGAUGAAUCACUUUGUGA